RNAcentral lists this ribosomal RNA (1979 nucleotides) under Parabacteroides merdae. RNAcentral's name for it is "partial 23S ribosomal RNA". It matches the Rfam family "Bacterial large subunit ribosomal RNA", at positions 1 to 1999 of the family's 2925-position model. Lineage: Bacteria; Pseudomonadati; Bacteroidota; Bacteroidia; Bacteroidales; Tannerellaceae. The record is from RNAcentral.
GAUACAGAAAGUAAGCAAGGGCAGACGGUGGAUGCCUUGGCUCUCGGAGGCGAUGAAGGACGUGAUAAGCUGCGAUAAGCUUGGGGUAGGUGCAAAUAACCUUUGAUCCCAAGAUUUCCGAAUGGGGCAACCCGGCUGGUAGAAGGCCAGUCAUUCCGUAAGGAAGGCGAACGUGGGGAACUGAAACAUCUAAGUACCCAUAGGAGAAGAAAACAAAAGUGAUUCCGCAAGUAGUGGCGAGCGAACGCGGAACAGCCCAAACCGAUGAUGUUUAGGCAUUGUCGGGGUAGUAGGACCACGUUGUGGCAAGAGAUUAAGGAAGUAGAACGUUUUGGAACAAACGGCCGUAGACGGUGAAAGCCCGGUAUACGACUCUUUAACGAAGCCUAGUGGAAUCCUGAGUAGCGCGGAGCACGAGAAAUUCUGUGUGAAUCAGCGGGGCCCAUCCCGUAAGGCUAAAUACUCCCGAGAGACCGAUAGCGAACCAGUACUGUGAAGGAAAGGUGAAAAGCACCUCGAACAGAGGAGUGAAAUAGUCCCUGAAACCGUCUGCCUACAAGCGGUCGGAGCAACGUAAGUUGUGACGGCGUGCCUUUUGCAUAAUGAACCUACGAGUUACUUUCUCCGGCAAGGUUAAGGGCUUCAGGCCCGGAGCCGAAGCGAAAGCGAGUCUUAAUAGGGCGUGAUAGUCGGAGUGAGUAGACGCGAAACCAAGUGAUCUACCCUUGGUCAGGAUGAAGGUUGGGUAACACCAACUGGAGGUCCGAAUGGGUAUACGUUGAAAAGUGUUCCAAUGAACUGAGGGUAGGGGUGAAAGGCUAAUCAAACUUGGAGAUAGCUCGUACUCCCCGAAAUGCAUUUAGGUGCAGCCUUUAUUUAGUAUAGCAUGAGGUAGAGCGACUGAUUGGAUGCGAGGGCUUCACCGCCUAUCAAGUCCAGAUAAACUCCGAAUGCGUGCUAUAUAUUGAUAAGGAGUGAGGGCGCGGGUGCUAAGGUCCGCGUCCGAGAGGAGAAGAAUCCAGACCAUCAGCUAAGGUCCCCAAAUAACAGUUAAGUUGAACUAACGAAGUCGGACUGCAGAGACAGCUAGGAUGUUGGCUUGGAAGCAGCCAUUCAUUUAAAGAGUGCGUAACAGCUCACUAGUCGAGGAGUCCGGCGUGGAUAAUACUCGGGCAUAAACUGUUUACCGAAGCUAUGGAUGUGUAAACACAUGGUAGGGGAGCAUUCCAACGGCGUCGAAGGUGAAGGAUGACCUUUGCUGGAGCUUUUGGAAACGCAAAUGUAGGUAUAAGUAACGAUAAAGGAGGUGAGAAACCUCCUCGCCGAAAGACUAAGGUUUCCUGAUCAACGUUAAUCGGAUCAGGGUAAGUCGGGACCUAAGGUUAAGCCGAACGGCGAUACCGAUGGAAGAAUGGUUUAAUAUUCCCAUACUACUUUAUGGAGCGAUGUGGAGACGGAGAAGUGACAGUCCUGCCAUCUGACGGAAUAGGUGGUUGAAGAGUGUAGAUGUAGAUUCCUGUAGGCAAAUCCGCAGGGAGAGUCGACCUUGACAGUAUGCCGCGUGCUUGCACAAGGCAAAAUGGACGUAAUCAGGCUCCCAAGAAAAUCCGCUAAGCAUAUUCAUAAAGUACCCGUACCGUAAACGGACACACGUAGUUGGGUUGAAAAUACUGAGGCGCUCGAGUGAUUCACGGUUAAGGAACUAGGCAAAUUGACCCUGUAACUUCGGGAUAAAGGGUCCCUACUGAGAGGUAGGGCGCAGAGAAUAGGUCCAGGCAACUGUUUAACAAAAACACAUGGCUGUGCGAAAUAGAAAUAUGAAGUAUACAGCCUGACACCUGCCCGGUGCUGGAAGGUUAAGAGGAGAGCUCAUCGCAAGAGAAGGCUUGAAUUGAAGCCCCAGUAAACGGCGGCCGUAACUAUAACGGUCCUAAGGUAGCGAAAUUCCUUGUCGGGUAAGUUCCGACCUGCACGAAUGG